Roseburia intestinalis L1-82 is the source of this 170-nucleotide non-coding RNA. Lineage: Bacteria; Bacillati; Bacillota; Clostridia; Lachnospirales; Lachnospiraceae. The record is from Rfam.
UUUGGGAGAAAAUUAGAAAAUCUUAGUGUGUCUAUAGGUACACAGUGAUGUUCUGCCACGGAUGGCAGAACAAGGCAGCAUCGAGUCAUGGAUGACUCGUUGUUGCCGGUCACGUCACUCCGAGAAAAUCUAACCCAGACACACUUAGACUUUUCUUAUUUUCGUACAAC